Molecule: ribosomal RNA, 497 nt
Filed under: uncultured bacterium
Lineage: Bacteria
Description: partial 16S ribosomal RNA
Rfam family: Bacterial small subunit ribosomal RNA
Source: RNAcentral
GAUGAACGCUGGCGGCGUGCCUAAUACAUGCAAGUCGAGCGAACAGACGAGGAGCUUGCUCCUCUGACGUUAGCGGCUGACGGGUGAGUAACACGUGGAUAACCUACCUAUAAGACUUGGAUAACUUCGUGAAACCGGAGCUACUACCGGAUAAUAUAUUGAACCGCAUGGUUCAAUAGUGAAAGACGGUUUUGCUGUCACUUAUAGAUGGAUCCGCGCCGCAUUAGCUAGUUGGUAAGGUAACGGCUUACCAAGGCAACGAUGCGUAGCCGACCUGAGAGGGUGAUCGGCCACACUGGAACUGAGACACGGUCCAGACUCCUACGGGAGGCAGCAGUAGGGAAUCUUCCGCAAUGGGCGAAAGCCUGACGGAGCAACGCCGCGUGAGUGAUGAAGGUCUUCGGAUCGUAAAACUCUGUUAUUAGGGAAGAAAAAAUGUGCAAGGAAAUAUGCACGUCUUGACGGUACCUAAUCAGAAAGCCACGGCUAACUACGUG